Small nucleolar RNA from Cyprinus carpio carpio, 67 nucleotides. Its record names the gene SNORD30. It matches the Rfam family "Small nucleolar RNA SNORD30". Rfam says of the family: U30 is a member of the C/D class of snoRNA which contain the C (UGAUGA) and D (CUGA) box motifs. U30 is encoded within the U22 snoRNA host gene (UHG) in mammals and is thought to act as a 2'-O-ribose methylation guide for ribosomal RNA. NCBI's taxonomy places the organism in Eukaryota, Metazoa, Chordata, Actinopteri, Cypriniformes, Cyprinidae. The record is from Ensembl.
AACUAUGAUGAUUUUUGCAGUCUCGUUCGUCUGAAGUCCUGCUGAUAAAUUAAGUUUACUGAUGUUA